UGUCAGGGAACUGACAUCAGAGGCACGGGAGAAGGAGAGGGUUUCUGAUUCUGCAGGAGAAGGUCCCAGCGCUAGGGGGAGACUCAGCUGGGAAAGAGGGGAAGAGAAUGAGUGUAACACCAGGGAUCCAGGAGAGCAACGGGACAGGGAGGGGCAGGGGCUCCAGGACUCUUCGUUGGAAGUUAGUGAGGAGAGCCCAAGCACCCCACUGCCCACGCCCACCCUGCGCAGGAGACUCCCGCGCACUGAGAGGCGGAGACCCUUAGGCGUCAAACAACUCUUAUGUUGGCAGCGCUUUAAGAAACGCCCACAGACAGAUUCUACGAGUGACUAAGGGCAGCCAUGCUGAGAUGGGCUGUGCAGUCCGGAGGGUUUAACCAGGCAAUCCGAUGCUCAAACGGGGCAGGAUUAUGCACGAG
Molecule: non-coding RNA, 419 nt
Organism: Podarcis lilfordi (Lilford's wall lizard)
Lineage: Eukaryota; Metazoa; Chordata; Lepidosauria; Squamata; Lacertidae
Source: the annotation of a GenBank genome assembly